GACGAACGCUGGCGGCGUGCUUAACACAUGCAAGUCGAACGGAAAGGCCCUGCUUUUGUGGGGUGCUCGAGUGGCGAACGGGUGAGUAACACGUGAGUAACCUGCCCUUGACUUUGGGAUAACUUCAGGAAACUGGGGCUAAUACCGGAUAGGAGCUCCUGCUGCAUGGUGGGGGUUGGAAAGUUUCGGCGGUUGGGGAUGGACUCGCGGCUUAUCAGCUUGUUGGUGGGGUAGUGGCUUACCAAGGCUUUGACGGGUAGCCGGCCUGAGAGGGUGACCGGCCACAUUGGGACUGAAAUACGGCCCAGACGCCUACGGAAGGCAGCAGUGGGGAAUAUUGCACAAUGGGCGGAAGCCUGAUGCAGCAACGCCGCGUGCGGGAUGACGGCCUUCGGGUUGUAAACCGCUUUCGCCUGUGACGAAGCGUGAGUGACGGUAAUGGGUAAAGAAGCACCGGCUAACUACGUG
This 468-nucleotide ribosomal RNA is filed under the name uncultured bacterium. RNAcentral describes it as "partial 16S ribosomal RNA". It matches the Rfam family "Bacterial small subunit ribosomal RNA", at positions 28 to 507 of the family's 1533-position model. The record is from RNAcentral.